UUUUAAAUAGCUUAAAUUAAGAGCGUAGUAUUGAAGAUACUAAAGUAAUAUUUAUAUUUUUAAAAA
Molecule: transfer RNA, 66 nt
Filed under: Aspidiphorus orbiculatus
Lineage: Eukaryota; Metazoa; Arthropoda; Insecta; Coleoptera; Sphindidae
Description: tRNA-Phe
Source: RNAcentral